UUUCUCCGCGCAAAUGAUGCAUUGUCCGCAAACACGGCGGCUGCAACUCUGCGUACAUUUCGCAACUCUCAUUUAAUUUUGUUUCCACAGAAAAUGCC
Molecule: non-coding RNA, 98 nt
Organism: Caenorhabditis elegans
Lineage: Eukaryota; Metazoa; Nematoda; Chromadorea; Rhabditida; Rhabditidae
Source: Ensembl